Non-coding RNA from Pelobates cultripes (western spadefoot toad), 206 nucleotides. The record is from the annotation of a GenBank genome assembly. Lineage: Eukaryota; Metazoa; Chordata; Amphibia; Anura; Pelobatidae.
GCAAAGGCGUUGAGUAGUGCAAGAGGGGAAGGAACAAGGAGACCCUCGGGCACGCGCACGACACUGACAUGAUGGGCACCCGCACCCCCAAGGGACAUGGAGAGGGGGACACCACAUCACUAAGGACGAAGCCCAAAUACUAAUAGCCCCAUCCCGUAGAGAAGAGCAAAAGGAACAACUACAGCACUUAGACAACAUAACAUAAC